AUUGAACGCUGGCGGCAUGCUUUACACAUGCAAGUCGAACGGUAACAGGCCUUCGGGUGCUGACGAGUGGCGAACGGGGGAGUAAUGCAUCGGAACGUACCCAGAGGUGGGGGAUAACGCAGCGAAAGCUGUGCUAAUACCGCAUGUGAUCUGAGGAUGAAAGCGGGGGACCGAGCAGCAAUGUUUGGCCUCGCGCCUUUGGAGCGGCCGAUGUCGGAUUAGCUAGUUGGUGGGGUAAAGGCCUACCAAGGCGACGAUCCGUAGCUGGUCUGAGAGGACGAUCAGCCACACUGGGACUGAGACACGGCCCAGACUCCUACGGGAGGCAGCAGUGGGGAAUUUUGGACAAUGGGCGCAAGCCUGAUCCAGCAAUGCCGCGUGCGGGAAGAAGGCCUUCGGGUUGUAAACCGCUUUUGGCAGGAACGAAACGGUGUCCGCUAAUACCGGGCGCUAAUGACGGUACCUGCAGAAUAAGCACCGGCUAACUACGUG
Molecule: ribosomal RNA, 492 nt
Filed under: uncultured bacterium
Lineage: Bacteria
Description: partial 16S ribosomal RNA
Rfam family: Bacterial small subunit ribosomal RNA
Source: RNAcentral